GCUGUAUGCGUGUGUGGACGAUACCCAGUGAAGGCGAGUGAAGAGAUGAUCUCCAGAACCAUCUUUCUUCAGGGAGCCAGCAAAACAGAUACAACAGAAGAGCAAUGACUCUCAGAAGGAAGAUGGUUAUUGUAGGAAGCCAGCUCUGUCUCUGUCUCCGCCACCUCGCUGAAGGACUGGGAGGCCGACGUUUCCGACGGACGCUGGAGGCCAAAUGUCCCCAAUCAUGACACUGGCAUACUCAGUAUCUGAUGAAGGCAAGCUCCCUGGGUCAAGGACAGCCGUCUUCUCCUGGUGUCCUCGCAUGGAAGAAGGUACGAGGGAGCUCUCUGGGGUCUCCUUGAGAAGGGUGCCAAUGCCAUUGACUAGGGUGCGAUCCCCACAUAGUCAUCUCCCAGAGAACCUCGUCUCUAACACUAGGGCUUACAGUUUCAACACAUGAAUGGGGUCAGGCCAGGUGGCAAUAACACUUAGAGAUGGGAUUUGAAAAACCAAUCCUAUGAGUUAUGCCGUUACCGUGCUAGUAGGCGUAGACACACUAUGAGACAGCAUGGAGACUUGAUGUAAGCACGACGGGGGGGUGGGGGGGGUGAACCUCGGUCUGUGUUACAUGAAUCACCCCCCCAAAGGUAAGGACCAGGAAAGUUCCAAGGUCAGGAUGAAAUCGGUGAACUCAGACAAAGGAGAUUGGCUCCAUCCCUUUUGGUGUUUCAGAUGAUAAGGAACACGGGAAGGCAUUCAUCCAGAAAAAGUGUUAUGAACACCCAUUCGUGAGAAGCAAAUUGUUGAGGGUUAUUGGCUCCUUAAAAUAACAGAUACAAAGGUAGUCAUAGAGAAAAGGAUUUAAAAACUGUGUGGUUGAUUGCCGGGGAAAAUGCCACUUAGCGUUUUUUCCUCAGCAUGAAAACGGAACAGCUAUUGUCAACCGUGAGUACUCUUUCACUCACCAUUCGCUUGGCCGUUUUACCAUGAGUAUUUGUCAAGCAGUUACUGUGUACCAAGGAGGAAGCAUUGGGGAGAAGAGAGGGAGUAAAACCAAAAAUCCAAACAAACGUUCCAUUUUCUGCAUCAUGGAAUGUAUAGCCUCUUGGUCAAUCAAAGGUUAAGCAAAUGAUUUUUAAAAUGUGAAUUAUGUAUCCAUUCUGUGACAAGAUGGGGUAAU
Molecule: long non-coding RNA, 1162 nt
Organism: Lutra lutra (Eurasian river otter)
Lineage: Eukaryota; Metazoa; Chordata; Mammalia; Carnivora; Mustelidae
Exons: 3
Source: RefSeq, a predicted model, not a curated record